This 603-nucleotide ribosomal RNA is filed under the name uncultured fungus. RNAcentral's name for it is "eukaryotic LSU rRNA". It matches the Rfam family "Eukaryotic large subunit ribosomal RNA", at positions 23 to 641 of the family's 3401-position model. The record is from RNAcentral. Lineage: Eukaryota; Fungi.
ACCCGCUGAACUUAAGCAUAUCAAUAAGCGGAGGAAAAGAAACCAACAGGGAUUGCCCUAGUAACGGCGAGUGAAGCGGCAACAGCUCAAAUUUGAAAUCUGGCGUCUUUGGCGUCCGAGUUGUAAUUUGCAGAGGGCGCUUUGGCAUUGGCAGCGGUCCAAGUUCCUUGGAACAGGACGUCACAGAGGGUGAGAAUCCCGUACGUGGUCGCUAGCCUUUACCGUGUAAAGCCCCUUCGACGAGUCGAGUUGUUUGGGAAUGCAGCUCUAAAUGGGAGGUAAAUUUCUUCUAAAGCUAAAUACUGGCCAGAGACCGAUAGCGCACAAGUAGAGUGAUCGAAAGAUGAAAAGCACUUUGGAAAGAGAGUUAAAAAGCACGUGAAAUUGUUGAAAGGGAAGCGCUUGCAGCCAGACUUGCCUGUAGUUGCUCAUCCGGGUUUUUACCCGGUGCACUCUUCUAUGGGCAGGCCAGCAUCAGUUUGGGCGGUUGGAUAAAGGUCUCUGUCAUGUACCUCUCUUCGGGGAGAACUUAUAGGGGAGACGACAUGCAACCAGCCUGGACUGAGGUCCGCGCAUCUGCUAGGAUGCUGGCGUAAUGGCUGU